AGAAUUCGAGGGGGUGGGGCUUUGCCAGGACAGAGGACCGCCUCGCUGGCCUACUGUCUCCGCCCCCACGGCGCCGGAAUCCCAGCUCCACUUACCAGGCCGCGGCUACCCCGUCGCCCCCGCCACUCCCGCCACCCCGCUCUCCCAGGCUCUUCAGGAUCCAAGUUUGUAGGCCCUUUAAGGGGUCUAGUUGCCCUUUGCGGGGCCCUGGGACUUUGGUCCCAGACAGGGGGGAUCCGGAUGGCUUCCGUGCGGAUCCGAGAGGCCAAGGAGGGAGACUGUGGGGAUAUCCUGAGGUUGAUUCGGGUGAAGACUGUGGGCCGGAACUAGCCGAGUUCGAAAAACUCUCGGAUCAGGUGAAGAUCAGUGAGGAAGCCCUGAGAGCAGAUGGCUUUGGAGAGAAUCCUUUCUAUCACUGUUUGGUAGCAGAGAUUCUUCCAGCGCCCGGGGAGCUACUGGGUCAAGGGAUUGGUUCCAAAAUAAUCAAAAAGGUGGCUGAGGUGGCCUUGGAUAAGGGCUGCUCCCAAUUCCGCCUGGCCGUCCUGGACUGGAACCAGAGGGCUAUGGACUUGUACAAGGCC
RNAcentral lists this small RNA (581 nucleotides) under Pongo abelii (Sumatran orangutan). Its description in RNAcentral is "processed transcript". Lineage: Eukaryota; Metazoa; Chordata; Mammalia; Primates; Hominidae. The record is from RNAcentral.